UUUGGGAUAACCCUCGGAAACGGGGGCUAAUACCGAAUAGGACCUUCGGCCGCAUGGUUGAGGGUGGAAAGUUUUUCGGCUUGGGAUGGGCUCGCGGCCUAUCAGCUUGUUGGUGGGGUGAUGGCCUACCAAGGCGACGACGGGUAGCCGGCCUGAGAGGGCGACCGGCCACACUGGGACUGAGACACGGCCCAGACUCCUACGGGAGGCAGCAGUGGGGAAUAUUGCACAAUGGGCGGAAGCCUGAUGCAGCGACGCCGCGUGAGGGAUGACGGCCUUCGGGUUGUAAACCUCUUUCAGCAGGGACGAAGCGAGAGUGACGGUACCUGCAGAAGAAGCACCGGCCAACUACGUGCCAGCAGCCGCGGUAAGACGUAGGGUGCGAGCGUUGUCCGGAUUUAUUGGGCGUAAAGAGCUCGUAGGCGGCUUGUCGCGUCGACCGUGAAAACUUGGGGCUCAACCCCAAGCCUGCGGUCGAUACGGGCAGGCUAGAGUUCGGUAGGGGAGACUGGAAUUCCUGGUGUAGCGGUGAAAUGCGCAGAUAUCAGGAGGAACACCGGUGGCGAAGGCGGGUCUCUGGGCCGAUACUGACGCUGAGGAGCGAAAGCGUGGGGAGCGAACAGGAUUAGAUACCCUGGUAGUCCACGCUGUAAACGUUGGGCGCUAGGUGUGGGGGGCCUCUCCCGGUUCCCUGUGCCGCAGCUAACGCAUUAAGCGCCCCGCCUGG
RNAcentral lists this ribosomal RNA (727 nucleotides) under Micromonospora sp. Its description in RNAcentral is "bacterial SSU rRNA". It matches the Rfam family "Bacterial small subunit ribosomal RNA", at positions 137 to 876 of the family's 1533-position model. The record is from RNAcentral. Lineage: Bacteria; Bacillati; Actinomycetota; Actinomycetes; Micromonosporales; Micromonosporaceae.